ACAGUAUCCUAUUCGGAUUAGAAAGCUCUCCCUAAUCCGACUUUAAUUCGAAUUCAAAGUCAGAUGAUGCCUUUAUAUAUAAACAGGGGUGUUGGGUGUUGACAUAUCGAUAGACAAAAGCAAUGGCUGGUGCUUUUGAUUCAGAACACCUCUUGGCAGAAAUCCUGAAAAGACUACCUCCAAAAUCUCUAGCACAAUGCACUUGUGUGGAGAAAUCAUGGUAUGAUCUUAUACAAUCUCCUAAUUUCAAAGCUCUGUACUCUGAUUCUAAUCAAUUUAUUUAUAUGCUUGCAAAACUAUUUAAUGGGGGCUUUGCUUUAUAUAGAAUGGAUCCACUACUUCACCCGCGAUUUAGUAGCAAUAGUUGUAGCUCCGACUCUACUUAUCUUCAUGACUUGCGUCCUCUUCUUGUUUUCCCCACAGAUUCGCAUUUAGGAGACAAUUAUUUCAAGUGCAUAAAUAAAAUUAGGUUCCAAGAUAUAUUUCUAUGGACUUGCAUUGUCGUCGGGUAAUAAAUACACUAGCUUUUAUACCAUGGAAGAAAAGGAUCUUAUGAGUAUAGAACCUAGUGAAGACAAUGUCAUUACGAAUUUUAAACUUUAACUAAAAUUAAAAAUCCCAUGCAUGAGUUAAAGCUUUUUCCGAUUGUUUUUGUCGCCAAUGACAAACUCUAUAUUCUAUCUGGGUGCUUUCUCGAUACCAUAUUUGAAGUCUUUUCUCCUGCUGACGGGACUUGGCAAGUGUUGCCCAAUCCAGAAGAUGAUGCAUUAGAGUUUCAUUAUUAUGCUGAUGGGGUUUCUUAUCUUGUCAUGGAACAAGAGCAAAUAGUCUAUUUUGCUACUACUAGACUACUCUCGUCCUUCAAUCUACAAACACAUCAAUGGGCUAUACACACAUAUUUUAAUAGUCCAACUCCUGCACAUUUUACAUUCGGUCAACAAAAAUUUCGUUACAUAUGUAAUCCAAUAAUCGGUAAUUUGGCUUUUGGUAUACUCCCCGAUCAGCUUGUUAGUUAUGUCUGUGCAUCAAAGAUGACCUCCCGUGGUGAAGAAUUUAUGCAACCAUACUUGGCACCUGACAAAGCCUUCCUGGAAGUUUUACGAUAUUCUAGGUUCACCUACAUGUUCAAACAGUGUUCCACCGACUACAUUGUUGCGUUUCAGGACUCUGAUGGCAAGCAACAACUCUGUAUUAUAACCUACGGCUGCAGGCCACUUGAGAAGAGAUGAGAAGACAAAAGAUGGUGGCGUGAUCAGGAGGUACUUCAGUGCCAAAUUUUUGUAUACUAAGGCUGUGUUCACUUCAUGGAAUGGAAUGAGGGGAGAAUGGAAUGAAAAAUUAUAUAGAAGUUUUAAGGAGAAAGAAGAAAGUAUGAGAUAAUGGUGACAAAAUAUGAAUGUAGUUAAUUUUUUUGUGAGAAAGAUUGUGAAGAAACAUAAUGUUCAAAUGGAAUGAGCAUUCCUUCCAAAACAUGUGGGUUAUAAUUAUAGUUAAAAUAGUAAGGUUGGAAUGAUUGAAGGAAUGAAAAUUAUAUACAUUUUCUUUGAUCAA
This is a long non-coding RNA of Daucus carota subsp. sativus, 1551 nucleotides long. RefSeq lists it as uncharacterized. The transcript has 2 exons. NCBI's taxonomy places the organism in Eukaryota, Viridiplantae, Streptophyta, Magnoliopsida, Apiales, Apiaceae. The record is from RefSeq and is a predicted model, not a curated record.